This 219-nucleotide unclassified non-coding RNA is filed under the name Bombus terrestris (buff-tailed bumblebee). RNAcentral describes it as "misc RNA ENSBTSG00005031017.1". The record is from RNAcentral. Lineage: Eukaryota; Metazoa; Arthropoda; Insecta; Hymenoptera; Apidae.
CACGCUUCCAGAACAUUCGGUGGAAGGACCGUUAGGACACAGAUGAACCCUCAGGCACUCCGGCAAUAUACAUUGUCGCCAAGGUCGCCAUGUGUAAUGUUCAACAAAGCUUUAACUGUUGAGUCUAUUCCGCUAUUAGUUAAAGCGGCGCUAACAGUUUCGGUUUUGUCUUCUCGUGGCGUUGCCAUUGUUAUACUAAUUGUGCUGUCUGUUCUCGAU